GUUACUUCGGUACAUCGGUGACAGGUGGUGCAUGGUUGUCGUCAGCUCGUGUCGUGAGAUGUUGGGUUAAGUCCCGCAACGAGCGCAACCCCUAUUGUUAGUUGCCAUCAUUCAGUUGGGCACUCUAGCGAGACUGCCGGUAAUAAACCGGGAGGAAGGUGGGGAUGACGUCAAAUCAUCAUGCCCCUUAUGACCUGGGCUACACACGUGCUACAAUGGUUGGUACAACGAGUUGCGAGUCGGUGACGGCGAGCUAAUCUCUUAAAGCCAAUCUCAGUUCGGAUUGUAGGCUGCAACUCGCCUACAUGAAGUCGGAAUCGCUAGUAAUCGCGGAUCAGCACGCCGCGGUGAAUACGUUCCCGGGCCUU
This 368-nucleotide ribosomal RNA is filed under the name uncultured Streptococcus sp. Its description in RNAcentral is "bacterial SSU rRNA". It matches the Rfam family "Bacterial small subunit ribosomal RNA", at positions 1014 to 1382 of the family's 1533-position model. The record is from RNAcentral. Lineage: Bacteria; Bacillati; Bacillota; Bacilli; Lactobacillales; Streptococcaceae.